CAUGAGUGGCGGACGGGUGAGUAACGCGUGGGCAACCUGGGCCUGUACAGGGGGAUAACACUUAGAAAUAGGUGCUAAUACCGCAUAACCGGGGGAAGCCGCAUGGCUUUUCCCUGGAAACUCCGGUGGUACAGGAUGGGCCCGCGUCUGAUUAGCCAGUUGGCAGGGUAACGGCCUACCAAAGCGACGAUCAGUAGCCGGCCUGAGAGGGCGGACGGCCACACUGGGACUGAGACACGGCCCAGACUCCUACGGAAGGCAGCAG
Molecule: ribosomal RNA, 265 nt
Filed under: uncultured bacterium
Lineage: Bacteria
Description: partial 16S ribosomal RNA
Rfam family: Bacterial small subunit ribosomal RNA
Source: RNAcentral